RNAcentral lists this ribosomal RNA (407 nucleotides) under uncultured bacterium. RNAcentral describes it as "partial 16S ribosomal RNA". It matches the Rfam family "Bacterial small subunit ribosomal RNA", at positions 30 to 526 of the family's 1533-position model. The record is from RNAcentral.
AUUGAACGCUGGCGGUAGGUCUAACACAUGCAAGUCGAGCGGAGCGGCGGACGGGUGAGUAAUGCCUAGGAAUCUGCCUGGUAGUGGGGGAUAACGUAAGGAAACGGGCGCUAAUACCGAAUACUACCAGAUGAGCCUAGGUCGGCUUAGCUAGUUGGUGGGGUAAAGGCAUACCAAGGCGACGAUCCGUAACUGGUCUGAGAGGUUGAUCAGUCCCCCUGGAACUAUGUCACGGUCCAGACUCCUGCGGGGGGCAGCCUUGGGGAAUAUUGGGCACUGGGCGAAGUCCUGAUCCAGCCGUUCCGCAUGUGUGAUGAAGGUCUUCGGAUUGUAAAGCGCUUUAAGUUGGGGGGCGUUGCCGACAGCAUAAGCACCGGCUAACUUCGUGCCAGCCGCCGCGGUAAUUC